AUGGCAGAAAGCCCAGCUAAGAUACAUAUUGCCAGGUUGGUAGUAAGCUAUGUAGUCUGUUGUUCAAGCUGUGUGCGUUGUAUUGUGCUUUUCAGUGCAGUUGCCAAGGCUGUGGUCUUUCCAUUACAAACUGACAGUUUCUUCAUGAUCCUAAUACUUCUUCCAGGAGCACAAAUUGGCACAAUUUCUAAUAUUGACCCUUUUUUAUCUUCUCCUUCUCUGCUUUUCUGCCCUGAGCAAAACAAAAAUUCCAUCUUCGCUCACAUUUGCUUGUUCACAGCCUGGGGGGGGGUAGUAACAGCAGCCUUCUCUGCCUCGUCAGGUGGCAUGGAAGGGACAGGCCAGAGGACAGAGCGCUGGUCAGCCCCCGGGAUCACCAAGGCACCAGUCACUACGACAACGGCAAGAGGAGCCCAGCAACGCCCACCAGCCUGCAAGCCAAAAUCUGCAACCUCAUCAGCAGCGCCACUGACACAGAAGGGGUGUACGUCUUCCUGGAUGACCUCCUUUUGACAGAUGUGUGUAUGUUUGCACUGGACAAGAUCUGAGCUGAUGCCCAGUGCUAUCUGGACAGAAACCGAGUCAAACUUGUGUGACUUUGUAGGGUGCUAUGAGCUGAGCACAUGGCCCUCUGCUGGGCAGGGGACUGGCUGGAGCAGAAAGUCCUCAGCUCCACCUUCACCUGGACUGGAGCAGAAAGCCCUCAGCUCCACCAUCACCUGGACUGGAGCAGAAAGCCCUCAGCUCCACCUUCACCUGGACUGGAGCAAAAAGCCCUAGAGCUCCACCAUCACCUGGACUUGAACAGAAAGUCCUCAGCUUCACCUUCACCUGGACUGGAGCAGAAAGCCCUGGAGCUCCACCAUCGCCUGGACUGGAGCAGAAAGUCCUCAGCUUCACCUUCACCUGUACUGGAGCAGAAAGCUCUGGAGCUCCACCAUCACCUGUACUGGAGCAGAAAGCCUGGGAUCUGACACUGACAGAUCUACAACAACCACAACAGGGCUAAAGGACAGAAAACAUCUUUCUUUAGAUUUACUGUCCAAAAUAUUAGGAGACCCAGAACGGAUUGAGGGAUGGCCCUCUCAGAACUCAAAGAAUGGCUUGAAGGGGGCGUGGCGGGUGGUCCUCAAGGUUAGGAAAUAUUUGCAUCCCAAUUGCACCCCACCUUUGGGGCAGGAAAGUCCUUGGUAGAGAUUGUGAUGAAGUCCAUGGCACUGCACUGCCCACUCUGCUAGCUUUGGUGGUGGUCAAAAGGAAUGACAUCGGGGCGUUGUCAUGAUUAAGAAAGGUGAAAGAAAUUACCUGCCACUGGUUUCUUGAAUUGAUUUGGGGUUCCUGACAGUUUAGCCAAUGUGUAUGUGUCACAGAGACAUUGAUAAGGAAUUAAAAGGCUGCCAAGGGAGCAGCAGCUGCACAACAAGUGCCUUCCUUUUUCUUAACCUUCUUUAAAUCAGGUGGAACGACGGAGAUGUGAACUGCAGAUUGGAAAUUUGUUUCCAAACCAGAAACAUUUGCUUACCUAUUUUUUUAUGCCGAUACUUUUAUCCAAAGCAACUUACAUUUACUACCAUUUACAGAACAGAGUGUUUAGCUGGAAAAAUUUGGGAACGGCGCCUUGCUCGGGGGUACAACAGCAGUGUCGCCCCACAGCCUUCCAGUAACAAGUGCAGAACCCUGACCACUGCCCCCACUGCUGCUUUAACACAAAGGAAGGUGGUGAAGAGAGAGGGAAAGGGAUUUGAUGAUGAUAUUAUAUGUGUAUAAUAUUCUUAACAUGCCACACAAUACCAUACUGAAAUGGGCAAUUUUAAUAACGAGAAAUUUCCCUUGCUGAACCCGGGAGGUUAGGCAGACAUGUGAAAAUAUAUUCCAAUGGUGCCUUACACAUUGUUGCUCUCUGUAUGCUGUGUUCGGCAGUUAAAUACAUAAGGUAACACAUGAGAAGAUGCUGUCUGGGUCAUCUUGCUUGUUCAGUGGAUUGAUUCUAGGAUCUUAUCAAGCAAUUUUUCAAAGUAUCCUGUGUUUUCAUCUUUAACACUGCAGGAUAAUCAGGAACUUGGCUAGGUAUGGGGUUUGACUACAACUAUAGGACAUCGCUAUCUCUCUUUGUAAAUCUGUACUUUCCCAACCUGCUAAAUUCUUGACAAUGUUGCUUUGCAUAUUUAUUUCUGAGUUCCUUUGGAUGCUGCGGCAUUGCAGAAUAGCUGUAGACAAAUACGAUGACGGUCACCUGCUGUCACGCUGUCUGACGAACACGGUCAGGAACACAGCGACAGCGACUGCCGUCCAUGGCAGGAGAUAGGAAUGAGUGAGCCCAGAUCCUGGAGGAGAAGAAAUGAUGUUGUGCCACUGACAGCAGCUCAGCAGGGGAGGUGUCUGGAAAUCCAAGUAUGGAAGAGAAAAUAAAGUUUUUCCUUUAGAUUAUCCAUCAUUUAUUCUUAUAUUACAUAUUUUUAUUGUGAACUUUAACACAACUGCAAAGCUUUUCUUUUUGUUGUUCUUGUUAUUUUUUGUUAUGACUUCAGUUAAUUAAACUGCCUUGUCCAGUUUAUGUUAAAAUACAUAAAGCGUUUCUGUUAAUACAGCAAUAUGUAAAGAAUUCAGGCACACCUGAAGAAGGCUCCACGGCCAAAACGUUGUGUUCUCUUUCUUCUUUUUUUCAGCAUGGAAUAAACCUAUUACUUGUUCCAAUAUGUAAAGAGUUCAUUCUCACACACUGAAUAAACAGUUUGAUAUAAUAUGGAUUUUAAAUCCAUACCAGUUAUUAUAAGUUCACAAGAAUGUAGAAUCUUUCUUUUUAUUCUGACUUGAAAGUUCCCAUUAAUAUUUUAGCUGUAAAAUAAUUUAUUGAAAUGUUUCUGAGGAAUGUGGUCUUGAAGUCUGCAGCAAAUGAACAGUUCAAAGAAUAAAAAUGCUUUUAAUUUGCCUUUGGAUGUAACUUGGAGUUGCUUGUAGUUGUAGUUGAACUUCUUAUUUGUACUCAUUUGUAUUUUAUAUGAUUUAAAUAAAAAUAAAACGAUCAACAU
Molecule: long non-coding RNA, 3029 nt
Filed under: Lepisosteus oculatus (spotted gar)
Lineage: Eukaryota; Metazoa; Chordata; Actinopteri; Semionotiformes; Lepisosteidae
Description: lncRNA (ENSLOCG00000022892.1)
Source: RNAcentral